GAGCAAACCGCCGAUGGCCCGCGCAAGCGGGAUCAGGUAAGGGUGAAAGGGUGCGGUAAGAGCGCACCGCGCGGCUGGUAACAGUCCGUGGCACGGUAAACUCCACCCGGAGCAAGGCCAAAUAGGGGUUCAUAAGGUACGGCCCGUACUGAACCCGGGUAGGCUGCUUGAGCCAGUGAGCGAUUGCUGGCCUAGAUGAAUGACUGUCCACGACAGAACCCGGCUUAUCGGUCAGUUUCACCU
This 243-nucleotide RNase P RNA is filed under the name Escherichia coli. RNAcentral's name for it is "partial RNase P RNA component class A". It matches the Rfam family "Bacterial RNase P class A", at positions 119 to 367 of the family's 367-position model. From Rfam's summary of the family: Ribonuclease P (RNase P) is a ubiquitous endoribonuclease, found in archaea, bacteria and eukarya as well as chloroplasts and mitochondria. Its best characterised activity is the generation of mature 5'-ends of tRNAs by cleaving the 5'-leader elements of precursor-tRNAs. The record is from RNAcentral. Lineage: Bacteria; Pseudomonadati; Pseudomonadota; Gammaproteobacteria; Enterobacterales; Enterobacteriaceae.